UACGAAGGGGGCUAGCGUUGCUCGGAAUCACUGGGCGUAAAGCGCACGUAGGCGGCUUUCUAAGUCAGGGGUGAAAUCCUGGAGCUCAACUCCAGAACUGCCUUUGAUACUGGAAAGCUUGAGUUCGGGAGAGGUGAGUGGAACUGCGAGUGUAGAGGUGAAAUUCGUAGAUAUUCGCAAGAACACCAGUGGCGAAGGCGGCUCACUGGCCCGAUACUGACGCUGAGGUGCGAAAGCGUGGGAGCAAACAGG
Molecule: ribosomal RNA, 252 nt
Filed under: uncultured bacterium
Lineage: Bacteria
Description: partial 16S ribosomal RNA
Rfam family: Bacterial small subunit ribosomal RNA
Source: RNAcentral